RNAcentral lists this ribosomal RNA (253 nucleotides) under uncultured bacterium. Its description in RNAcentral is "partial 16S ribosomal RNA". It matches the Rfam family "Bacterial small subunit ribosomal RNA", at positions 524 to 776 of the family's 1533-position model. The record is from RNAcentral.
UACAGAGGUCUCAAGCGUUGUUCGGAUUCAUUGGGCGUAAAGGGUGCGUAGGUGGCGCUGUAAGUCGGGUGUGAAAUUUCGGAGCUUAACUCCGAAACUGCAUUCGAUACUGCGGUGCUUGAGGACUGGAGAGGAGACUGGAAUUCAUGGUGUAGCAGUGAAAUGCGUAGAGAUCAUGAGGAAGACCAGUGGCGAAGGCGGGUCUCUGGACAGUUCCUGACACUGAGGCACGAAGGCCAGGGGAGCAAAACGG